This 429-nucleotide ribosomal RNA is filed under the name Gemmatimonadota bacterium. RNAcentral describes it as "Gemmatimonadetes bacterium partial 16S ribosomal RNA". It matches the Rfam family "Bacterial small subunit ribosomal RNA", at positions 355 to 776 of the family's 1533-position model. The record is from RNAcentral. Lineage: Bacteria; Pseudomonadati; Gemmatimonadota.
UAGGGAAUCUUCGGCAAUGGACGAAAGUCUGACCGAGCAACGCCGCGUGAGUGAAGAAGGUUUUCGGAUCGUAAAACUCUGUUGUUAGAGAAGAACAAGGACGUUAGUAACUGAACGUCCCCUGACGGUAUCUAACCAGAAAGCCACGGCUAACUUCGUGCCAGCAGCCGCGGUAAUACGUAGGUGGCAAGCGUUGUCCGGAUUUAUUGGGCGUAAAGCGAGCGCAGGCGGUUUCUUAAGUCUGAUGUGAAAGCCCCCGGCUCAACCGGGGAGGGUCAUUGGAAACUGGGAGACUUGAGUGCAGAAGAGGAGAGUGGAAUUCCAUGUGUAGCGGUGAAAUGCGUAGAUAUAUGGGGGAACACCAGUGGCGAAGGCGGCUCUCUGGUCUGUAACUGACGCUGAGGCUCGAAAGCGUGGGGAGCAAACAGG